AGAGUUUGAUCAUGGCUCAGGAUGAACGCUAGCGGCAGGCUUAACACAUGCAAGUCGAGGGGUAGAAGCAGCUUGCUGCUUUGAGACCGGCGCACGGGUGCGUAACGCGUAUACAAUCUACCUUUUACAGAGGGAUAGCCCAGAGAAAUUUGGAUUAAUACCUCAUAGUAUUUUCGAAUCGCAUGGUUUGAUUAUUAAAGUUCCAACGGUAAAAGAUGAGUAUGCGUCCCAUUAGCUAGAUGGUAAGGUAACGGCUUACCAUGGCAACGAUGGGUAGGGGUCCUGAGAGGGAGAUCCCCCACACUGGUACUGAGACACGGACCAGACUCCUACGGGAGGCAGCAGUGAGGAAUAUUGGACAAUGGGCGCAAGCCUGAUCCAGCCAUGCCGCGUGCAGGAAGACGGUCCUAUGGAUUGUAAACUACUUUUAUACAGGAAGAAACACACCCUCGUGAGGGUACUUGACGGUACUGUAUGAAUAAGCAUCGGCUAACUCCGUGCCAGCAGCCGCGGUAAUACGGAGGGAUGCAAGCGUUAUCCGGAAUCCUUGGGUUUAAAGGGUCC
Molecule: ribosomal RNA, 564 nt
Filed under: uncultured Flavobacteriia bacterium
Lineage: Bacteria; Pseudomonadati; Bacteroidota; Flavobacteriia
Description: bacterial SSU rRNA
Rfam family: Bacterial small subunit ribosomal RNA
Source: RNAcentral